UGAAAGGAUGGAAGCUGCUGCUGUUGUUGGUGGUGCUGUUGAUGAUGAUGAUGAUGAUGAAUUAGCUUCCACAGGCUUUCUUGAACGGUUCCUGCCUCUAUGCAUGUGCCUCUCACAGUACUUGGAGUCUGGGUAAGCUUCUUUGGAGCACCUCCAUUUUUUUCCAUCAGUUCUCCUGCACCUCCCUGGCUCUGGGUCUGGUUUUCUGCCAAAACCCACCUGAAAACAGCCCCACCCUGCUGCAACCACCACAAGGCACCAUCAUUUUAAUUUUUGACCAAAAUCAUUCAACAAUAAAAGUAUAACUCACAUACAAAAAAGUAGUGCAACUCCAAUUUGGUUUUUUUUUUUUUUUUGCAGAUACUUACUGGGUUGGUGAGGGAAGAGGUGUGAAGCCAAAGAAGAAUCAAAGCUUGUUUUGACAGAAUAAAGGAGUUGAGGUGGGAUAGGAACUCCUGAAACCAUGUAUUUGAAGAUGAG
Molecule: long non-coding RNA, 480 nt
Filed under: Gossypium barbadense (sea-island cotton)
Lineage: Eukaryota; Viridiplantae; Streptophyta; Magnoliopsida; Malvales; Malvaceae
Description: long non-coding RNA (GBAR_LNC019676)
Source: RNAcentral